This is a long non-coding RNA of Megalobrama amblycephala (Wuchang bream), 1820 nucleotides long. RefSeq lists it as uncharacterized. The transcript has 4 exons. Lineage: Eukaryota; Metazoa; Chordata; Actinopteri; Cypriniformes; Xenocyprididae. The record is from RefSeq and is a predicted model, not a curated record.
UGAAUACGCCCCCUGAUCUGCUUCUGCCUGGCCCAGAUUAAUUGAUGUAAACCGGGUAACCUAUGCUACCAGUAAAGAGAAAAAAGUUAAGAAAAGGAAAAAAAAAAUCUAGAAGAAAAAGAGAUUCAUCCAAUCACUGAUCGUGCUGCAGUGAGAGACACCCCUUAGAGCCAAUAGUAGCGGCGCAUUCAUAAGUCCCGCCCACUGGUCGCGCCGGCGCUGCUUUCAGCGUGAGCAGAUGAGAGAGAGAGUCAGAGCAGAUCAGCACAGACAGUUUCUCUUGAAAAUCCACUGAUCUAACUGGAAAUGUGAUUGAGUGCACUAAAAGUGGAGCUUUUGAAGUCGAUGCGUCAGCCUGAAGUGUUGUCGCCGGAGACAGAGAAGAGAGAGAGAGACGGAGCGGAUCCCAGCGUGUUGAAGCACUGUACAGACAUUUUAUAUUCAUCUGUUUACAUUUAUUGAGGUAAGAAGACAAAUUUCUAAGAAAAUGAAUGCGUAUUAUUUCCAUCUCUUGUUUCUUGUUUCUUGACAGACUGAAAGGAAAAGGACAGUGAUUCCCAAACCACAGAGAAAUUAAUGUCUGUUGAUGAGUAUCAAGCACAACCUCGACAGAGACUCAGAAGAGGCUGAAAUAAUGGAGGAAAACGGAAAAAUUGAGAAAUGACAACAAAAAAAGCUACCAAAUCUGAUAAAUGAAGUGAAGAUGGCCCUGAAGUCUCUGUUUGUCAGCAUCAGUCACGUAACUUGGAAGAUGGGACAGGAUUUGCCACAGAGUAAUUACAGAGCCCUUCCAGCAGAACAGGAGCAACGUUGCAGAAAGUGUCCUCAUGUGGUGCCUGCCAGCAUUGGUACAGCAAAUAAUGCCAAACUUACUGAAAUUAGAGGGAAGAAAACACAAAAAUAUCUGAAAACCUUAAUGGUGUUUGAUGAUUGAUAGCCAUGACAGUGUGUUCAAGGUAUUUUGUUGUUGUUGUUGGGGUGUGUGUGUGUUGUCUUCACAAAGUUCAGUUUGAUAUCAAGUUGUAAUUUUAAAUUACUCUUGUGGAGUAUAAUUUGAUUGUGUCCCUUUGAUUGUGUUGAAAUAUUUCUGAUGCAAAUUUGUGCAAGUAAUUGACUGAAAUCAUAUAUGAUUUGUAUAUGCAGAGAUAUUGUAAUAUUUAAUGGAAUCAUGUAAGACAAUUAUAUGUAGAGAUAUGAGGAAUUGGGUGGAAACAUAUAAAAUCUGUAUAAAAUUCAUAUGAGCAAAUGAUGCAAAAUUUAAAUGAAUCCUAUAUGACUUGCAUAUGAUCCAAUCAAGAAUUUUAAAUGAUUUGUAUAGGAAAUUUACUGACAUUCAUACACAUUUUCUACUAAAAUCAUAUACUAUUACAUACUGUUGUCAUGUAAAACUCAUAUAAAAAUUUACAAUAUUCAUAUAUGACCUAAAAAUCCCAUAUAAGUUGUAUGUGUGCUUUUUAGUAUGAAAGUGGCCAUAAUCGGUCUGAUUUUGUAUAUGACAUGUAUUGGACUUACAUGAAACACAUAAGGAAAUGCUGGCUGAUUUGAGUAAGGAAGAUAUAUGGUUGCUGUAUAUGAAACAUACAGAUUUUUUUCAUAUGGGUACAGAUAACUCAUUAACAUUUAACUAAACCAGGUUUGUGACAAGUUAACGUGUGGCUCCUUUAGACGUUUUGUUCUUCCCUAUACAUUUGACAUUAUUAAUCAUUAUUAAUCAGCAUAUUAAGAACAUUUCAUAAUAAACAAUGUUAGGCUAUAAUUUGAAAAAUUAUUUAGAGAUGGCAAGGAAAGACAAAAUACUUUGAAAUUACUAGUUACUAGUU